RNAcentral lists this ribosomal RNA (497 nucleotides) under uncultured bacterium. RNAcentral describes it as "partial 16S ribosomal RNA". It matches the Rfam family "Bacterial small subunit ribosomal RNA", at positions 28 to 507 of the family's 1533-position model. The record is from RNAcentral.
GAUGAACGCUGGCGGCGUGCCUAAUACAUGCAAGUCGAGCGAACAGAUAAGGAGCUUGCUCCUUUGACGUUAGCGGCGGACGGGUGAGUAACACGUGGGUAACCUACCUAUAAGACUGGGAUAACUUCGGGAAACCGGAGCUAAUACCGGAUAACAUUUGGAACCGCAUGGUUCUAAAGUGAAAGAUGGUUUUGCUAUCACUUAUAGAUGGACCCGCGCCGUAUUAGCUAGUUGGUAAGGUAACGGCUUACCAAGGCAACGAUACGUAGCCGACCUGAGAGGGUGAUCGGCCACACUGGAACUGAGACACGGUCCAGACUCCUACGGGAGGCAGCAGUAGGGAAUCUUCCGCAAUGGGCGAAAGCCUGACGGAGCAACGCCGCGUGAGUGAUGAAGGGUUUCGGCUCGUAAAACUCUGUUAUUAGGGAAGAACAAAUGUGUAAGUAACUGUGCACGUCUUGACGGUACCUAAUCAGAAAGCCACGGCUAACUACAUG